RNAcentral lists this long non-coding RNA (389 nucleotides) under Androctonus crassicauda. Lineage: Eukaryota; Metazoa; Arthropoda; Arachnida; Scorpiones; Buthidae. The record is from RNAcentral.
AAUUAAUAACUGUUCAUUACUGAAUUGCUAUCUAGUUAUCGUGCAAUAAAAGUAGAAGAGUCGUCUACUAAUGUAUUAUGUUUUUUUACUUUUUUUCUCGAGAAACAGUAUAUGCCUUCUCUUUGGCAGGGCACAUAAAAGAUGUUCUGAAUAUUUCAGAUUACUGGAGAUGCUAUUUAUACAAGUCAGAUUUUUGUUAGAAACCAUUGGGACUUUUUGCAUUCCAAACAUCGUAAAUCCAGCAGACUUGGAAUACUGCCAGUUGAAAGUGAAAUUUUAAUAAUUUUUUAAGAAUGUAGUUAUUCUGAAUUAUGAUAGGAAAUUAAAUUUUAUAAUUAUUAAUAAAUAUACUAAAAUAGCAAAUUCUCAGAGUAAUGUAUAACUCUUAG